Molecule: ribosomal RNA, 1370 nt
Filed under: uncultured bacterium
Lineage: Bacteria
Description: bacterial SSU rRNA
Rfam family: Bacterial small subunit ribosomal RNA
Source: RNAcentral
GACGAACGCUGGCGGCGUGCCUAAUACAUGCAAGUAGAACGCUGAAGAAGAGGAGCUUGCUCUUCUUGGAUGAGUUGCGAACGGGUGAGUAACGCGUAGGUAACCUGCCUUGUAGCGGGGGAUAACUAUUGGAAACGAUAGCUAAUACCGCAUAACAAUGGAUGACACAUGUCAUUUAUUUGAAAGGGGCAAUUGCUCCACUACAAGAUGGACCUGCGUUGUAUUAGCUAGUAGGUGAGGUAACGGCUCACCUAGGCGACGAUACAUAGCCGACCUGAGAGGGUGAUCGGCCACACUGGGACUGAGACACGGCCCAGACUCCUACGGGAGGCAGCAGUAGGGAAUCUUCGGCAAUGGGGGCAACCCUGACCGAGCAACGCCGCGUGAGUGAAGAAGGUUUUCGGAUCGUAAAGCUCUGUUGUAAGUCAAGAACGAGUGUGAGAGUGGAAAGUUCACACUGUGACGGUAGCUUACCAGAAAGGGACGGCUAACUACGUGCCAGCAGCCGCGGUAAUACGUAGGUCCCGAGCGUUGUCCGGAUUUAUUGGGGCGUAAGCGAGCGCAGGCGGUUUGAUAAGUCUGAAGUUAAAGGCUGUGGCUCAACCAUAGUUCGCUUUGGAAACUGUCAAACUUGAGUGCAGAAGGGGAGAGUGGAAUUCCAUGUGUAGCGGUGAAAUGCGUAGAUAUAUGGAGGAACACCGGUGGCGAAAGCGGCUCUCUGGUCUGUAACUGACGCUGAGGCUCGAAAGCGUGGGGAGCGAACAGGAUUAGAUACCCUGGUAGUCCACGCCGUAAACGAUGAGUGCUAGGUGUUGGAUCCUUUCCGGGAUUCAGUGCCGCAGCUAACGCAUUAAGCACUCCGCCUGGGGAGUACGACCGCAAGGUUGAAACUCAAAGGAAUUGACGGGGGCCCGCACAAGCGGUGGAGCAUGUGGUUUAAUUCGAAGCAACGCGAAGAACCUUACCAGGUCUUGACAUCCCGAUGCUAUUUCUAGAGAUAGAAAGUUACUUCGGUACAUCGGUGACAGGUGGUGCAUGGUUGUCGUCAGCUCGUGUCGUGAGAUGUUGGGUUAAGUCCCGCAACGAGCGCAACCCCUAUUGUUAGUUGCCAUCAUUCAGUUGGGCACUCUAGCGAGACUGCCGGUAAUAAACCGGAGGAAGGUGGGGAUGACGUCAAAUCAUCAUGCCCCUUAUGACCUGGGCUACACACGUGCUACAAUGGUUGGUACAACGAGUUGCGAGUCGGUGACGGCAAGCUAAUCUCUUAAAGCCAAUCUCAGUUCGGAUUGUAGGCUGCAACUCGCCUACAUGAAGUUGGAAUCGCUAGUAAUCGCGGAUCAGCACGCCGCGGUGAAUACGUUCCCGGGCCU